CCCCUAGAUGUUCUGGGCCGCACGCGCGCUACACUGAACAGUUCAACAAGUCUUAACCUUGGCCGAUAGGUCUGGGUAAUCUUUGAACGCUGUUCGUGAUUGGGAUAGACCUUUGCAAUUAUGGGUCUUCAACGAGGAAUUCCUAGUAAACGCAAGUCAUCAGCUUGCAUUGAUUACGUCCCUGCCCUUUGUACACACCGCCCGUCGCACCUACCGAUUGAAUGAUCCGGUGAGGCCCCCGGAAUGGGAUCACUGCCUGGUUCUCCAGAAUGAGAUCCCGUGAAGCUGUCCAAACCUUAUCAUUUAGAGGAAGGAGAAGUCGUAACA
RNAcentral lists this ribosomal RNA (327 nucleotides) under uncultured eukaryote. Its description in RNAcentral is "partial 18S ribosomal RNA". It matches the Rfam family "Eukaryotic small subunit ribosomal RNA", at positions 1470 to 1796 of the family's 1831-position model. The record is from RNAcentral.